This is a non-coding RNA of Ictidomys tridecemlineatus (thirteen-lined ground squirrel), 711 nucleotides long. The record is from RefSeq and is a predicted model, not a curated record. Lineage: Eukaryota; Metazoa; Chordata; Mammalia; Rodentia; Sciuridae.
CUCCGGCUGUGCCCGGUUUGGGCUGCAGGGAUGGCGAGUGCCUGCCUGCUUUACCCACGCCGCUGCUGCUCGGACGCCAACUCUGAGCACCCGGGGGUCCGCACCCUGCCAUCGCCCAGGAAAACGAGGAAAUUUGUUUCUAUAUCUUGUCUUUGGACGAACAUCUCUCUCAGCGGUGGACGUCUGAUUUCCAGCAGUCUCACUUGGAAGGGGCAGAGGAAGAAUUUUUGGCUUUCCAGAUGGAUGAUGUUUCCCAGACUCUGAGACUGAACAACACUUACCCUGCAAUUAAGCACCUACAUAGGAUGGAUGAAAUAUGACAGAUAUUCAAUUGAAGUUCAUAGUUGACUUUAAAUGAAAGAGAGAAAACCGAGUUCCAGGAAUGAAGGUCUGAAUGGUUGCUGUGAUUUGAAGAGGUCCCCUCCAAAAUCCACGAAUGGCCAGUGGGAUAGUAUUAAGAAGCAGGGCCUCUAAGAGGUCAUUAGAUCAUAGGAGCCGGAGACUCAGAGAUCUGGCUCUCCCUGCAGUUGCCCGGCACUGUGGCAUGCCAUUGAUGGAAUUAAGGACUUUCUGAAAGCAGCUUCAUGCAGCAUUUGAUUAACUCGAUCUUCUACCUUCUGCUACAGGAGGCUGAAGCAAGAAUACCCUCACCAGAAACCAAAUGCUAACACCUUGAUCUUGGAUUUCUAACUUUCAGAAUUGUGAGAAUUA